UACGAAGGGGGCUAGCGUUGCUCGGAAUCACUGGGCGUAAAGCGCACGUAGGCGGCUUCUUAAGUCAGGGGUGAAAUCCUGGAGCUCAACUCCAGAACUGCCUUUGAUACUGGCAACCUUGAGUCCGGGAGAGGUGAGUGGAACUGCGAGUGUAGAGGUGAAAUUCGUAGAUAUUCGCAAGAACACCAGUGGCGAAGGCGGCUCACUGGCCCGGUACUGACGCUGAGGUGCGAAAGUGUGGGGAGCGAACAGG
RNAcentral lists this ribosomal RNA (253 nucleotides) under uncultured bacterium. RNAcentral's name for it is "partial 16S ribosomal RNA". It matches the Rfam family "Bacterial small subunit ribosomal RNA", at positions 524 to 776 of the family's 1533-position model. The record is from RNAcentral.